AUUGAACGCUGGCGGCAUGCCUUACACAUGCAAGUCGAACGGCAGCACGGGUGCUUGCACCUGGUGGCGAGUGGCGAACGGGUGAGUAAUACAUCGGAACAUGUCCUGUAGUGGGGGAUAGCCCGGCGAAAGCCGGAUUAAUACCGCAUACGAUCCACGGAUGAAAGCGGGGGACCUUCGGGCCUCGCGCUAUAGGGUUGGCCGAUGGCUGAUUAGCUAGUUGGUGGGGUAAAGGCCUACCAAGGCGACGAUCAGUAGCUGGUCUGAGAGGACGACCAGCCACACUGGGACCGAGACACGGCCCAGACUCCUACGGGAGGCAGCAGUGGGGAAUUUUGGACAAUGGGCGAAAGCCUGAUCCAGCAAUGCCGCGUGUGUGAAGAAGGCCUUCGGGUUGUAAAGCACUUUUGUCCGGAAAGAAAUCCUUGGCUCUAAUACAGUCGGGGGAUGACGGUACCGGAAGAAUAAGCACCGGCUAACUACGUG
Molecule: ribosomal RNA, 486 nt
Filed under: uncultured bacterium
Lineage: Bacteria
Description: partial 16S ribosomal RNA
Rfam family: Bacterial small subunit ribosomal RNA
Source: RNAcentral